RNAcentral lists this ribosomal RNA (403 nucleotides) under uncultured bacterium. Its description in RNAcentral is "bacterial SSU rRNA". It matches the Rfam family "Bacterial small subunit ribosomal RNA", at positions 355 to 775 of the family's 1533-position model. The record is from RNAcentral.
UAGGGAAUAUUAGUAAUGGGCGAAAGCCUGAACUAGCAACGCCGCGUGUGCGAAGAAGGCCUUCGGGUUGUAAAGCACUUUUUGAGGGGAUGAGGAAGGACGGUACUCUCAGAAUAAGUCUCGGCUAACUACGUGCCAGCAGCCGCGGUAACACGUAGGAGGCAAACGUUAUCCGGAUUUACUGGGCGUAAAGCGCGUGUAGGUGGUUUGGUAAGUAGGGCGUGAAAGCUCCUGGCCCAACUGGGAGAGGCCGUUCUAAACUGCCGAACUAGAGGAUGGUAGAGGGAGGUGGAAUUCCGGGUGUAGCGGUGGAAUGCGCAGAUAUCCGGAGGAACACCAGUGGCGAAAGCGGCCUCCUGGACCAUUCCUGACACUCAGACGCGAAAGCUAGGGUAGCAAACCG